CAGCAGCCGCGGUAAUACGGAAGGAGCUAGCGUUGUUCGGAAUUACUGGGCGUAAAGCGCACGUAGGCGGCGAUUUAAGUCAGAGGUGAAAGCCCGGGGCUCAACUCCGGAAUUGCCUUUAAGACUGCCGAGCUAGUAGGUGAGAGAGGUAAGUGGAAUUCCGAGUGUAGAGGUGAAAUUCGUAGAUAUUCGGAAGAACACCAGUGGCGAAGGCGGCUUACUGACUCAUUCUAGACGCUGAGGUGCGAAAGCGUGGGGAGCAAACAGGAUUAGAUACCCCGGUAGUCCCUGUCUCUUAUAC
This 301-nucleotide ribosomal RNA is filed under the name uncultured bacterium. RNAcentral describes it as "partial 16S ribosomal RNA". It matches the Rfam family "Bacterial small subunit ribosomal RNA", at positions 509 to 807 of the family's 1533-position model. The record is from RNAcentral.